UGCGUAGGCGGAUUAAUAAGUCAGUGGUGAAAACCUGCAGCUUAACUGCAGACCUGCCAUUGAUACUGUUAGUCUUGAGUACGGUCAAGGUAGGCGGAAUGUGUAAUGUAGCGGUGAAAUGCUUAGAUAUUACACAGAACACCGAUUGCGAAGGCAGCUUACUGGGCCAUUACUGACGCUGAGUCACGAAAGCGUGGGGAGCGAACAGGAUUAGAUACCCUGGUAGUCC
RNAcentral lists this ribosomal RNA (229 nucleotides) under uncultured bacterium. Its description in RNAcentral is "partial 16S ribosomal RNA". It matches the Rfam family "Bacterial small subunit ribosomal RNA", at positions 568 to 796 of the family's 1533-position model. The record is from RNAcentral.